This 347-nucleotide transfer-messenger RNA is filed under the name human gut metagenome. It matches the Rfam family "transfer-messenger RNA". Rfam says of the family: Bacterial tmRNA, also known as 10Sa RNA or SsrA, is named for its dual tRNA and mRNA-like properties. The record is from RNAcentral.
GGGGGCGUACCGGUUUCGACGGGGGUGUGGAGGCAGGACAAGCGGGCAGAGGCGCCUGGCCUCUAUAAAACGGGUAACUUAUAAAUUAAAGAACAACAACGAAGUUGCUGUCGCUGCCUAAUUAAGGCAGCCGUCUGAACUGGGAGGGCCGCGGCCCGGGGAAGGCGUCGUGUAGCGGCGAACGUGAGGCGCGAAAGAGUUGACGCGCCCAUGCAUCAUGACUCUACUGAAACGCAAGGUCCGUCAGGUGUCCUUGCGCAGAGGGAAUGCCUGAAUCCUGACUGCGCCCGGAGAAAGUCCUGUUAAAGCGCUUUCGGACGCGGGUUCGACUCCCGCCGCCUCCACCA